ACACAGACACUGUACAUUUUUAAUUUUCAUUGGGAGGGUGACUUCUAGGGGUUAUAGGUCUGUUUAAGUGGUUUAACUUUGAUACGUGUUAUAUUUCUAGAAAAGUGUCCACUUCGUUUUAGAAUUUCCAAUUUUAUGGAGUAUAUGUUUUUAAAUAUAUGUCCUUAUGAUUUUCUGGAUUUCCUCAGUGUCUAUUGUUAUGUGUCCCUUUUCAUUUCUGAUUUUGCUAAUUUGGAUAUUCUUUCUUCCUUUUACUUAAUUUGGACAAAAGUUAGUUAAUUUUCUUGAGUUUCUUAAAGAAUAAAUUCUUAGUUUCAUUGAUUCUUUUAGUUUUUUUUUUUUUUUGGUUUGUUUCUAUUUUAGUUAUUUCAACUCUGAAUUUGAUUAUUUCUUGCCUUUUACUCUGUUGAGUGUGAUUUCUUCUAUUUGUUCCAGAACUUUCUGGUAUGCUGUUAUGCUAUUAGUAUGAGAUGUCUCCAUUUAAAAAUGUAGGCACUUAGUACUAUUAACUUAUGUAAGUUGUGUAUUCAUUUUCCUUCCUUUCUUUGGAAAAGAUUAUCUAUGUGAUCUACUCUGAAGUGGACUGGAGGCUGCUGCGGAUGAUCUAUCAUGGAGCUGGGGAGAGGACUUGGAGGAGCUGAAGGAGAGGUAAAGAUCUGCUGUUAACCUACCUGCUUGGCUGGCAGGAGCAGCUCCUGGGUUUCCAGGGAAUGCUUGUUGGAGUUGGGGGCUGGAGUAAGAUAAUGAGAAGAGGAGAGGGAAGAUAGGUGAUAAAGAACUGUGUGAUCCACUGGAGAUGGGGAUCCACACUUCCCCUAUGCACAAGGAAGGGGAUAGCUGAGCCCCUGCUGGGGCAGAAUCAGGUUUGAUUCUGAGCGAGUACAGAGGGCCUGAAGAAGAGAAGGCCUUCUCUAGAAGAUUUAGGCAAGGCUCUUUUCGACAAAGGUCUCCCCCACCCUCACCCCCUACAGCGUUCCUUGAUGAAGAAGGUCCUUGCUUGUCCAAACUGCUUUAUUUUAUGGUGGACAUAAAUGCUUACGUUCUUACUUAGGGUGAACCAGGGAUUAAAUACCCUCAGUGGCAGCAUAGGCCAGGACUUCACCAUGGCUUUAGGCGGUAUUACUGGCUAUUCCUAUCAGGCUGUUCCUCACUUCUCUUGAGUCUCAAGUUCUGGCUCUUCUCGUUGUGCACACAUCCUUCUGCUUCUCUUUCUCUUCCAUAUCUCCACUAUUUAUUUGCUCACUUUUGUGCUACUCAGUAUAUCUGGUUGUCUGGCGUCAUCCCGGGAGUUGCCUAUGGAGUUAUAUGCCUUGUUCAUCCUGUGUGUCCCCACCCUAGCUACAGGGUGAAGAACAGGUGGUCAUCUGGGGCUCACUCCCUGCCCAGACCAUGUGACACCAGAUGGGGGUUGUCUCUAGGUUUUUGUUUUGUUAAACUCAGUGUUCAUUACAUAUCACAAGUUGGUCUCAAACUCACAUGCUGUGCCAAGAAGUGUUUGUGAAUCCCAAAAGGCCACCAAAGAGUCAAUUCUGAUGAAAUCACAUUAGGGUCUCUUUAUUCAAGCUCCAACUUGGGCCACACCACCGUUUCUAAUGCAGCAGGACGGGAGGAUGUGGCCCUGAGCCCAGUUCCAGCAAGCAUUUAUAGAGGAAGGAGAGGCUGUCUAGCCUGGCACACAUUUGAUUGGUGGGUUGGGAGGGGAGCAUGAUGGCCUUUAAUAUAAUUGGCUGGUGCUGGGAACCUAACCAUAAACUUCUGUUUUCCUCCGAUUGCUCGCUGUUAGGAAGUGAAGUGCAGGGGCACCUGGAGGUGCAGAUUGGUGGGGAAUAACCUGGAAACUGGUGCUCGGUACUGGCCUGUUAGUUAACUUGAGUUCAACCUUAGGUCGGGUUCUCUAAGAUGUGAGCCUGAACCCAUAAGAUCUGGUUUGCCACACACAGUCCUCUUACUCAGCAUCCUAAAUGCUGAUAUUACCCAUGUGUAACACCUUGCCACCAUGCCUGUUUGGUUUCAGUUCUUCUUAAAUGUCAACCACCUUUUCAGUUUUGGGGCUCUAUCGAACUAUCACCUUUCUUAUACAUUUUAAAAAUUAUGUUUGGCAUGAUUGGAAACAAAAGAAUCUAGACAAUUUUUAUUCAUUGUAUUUAAUUUUUUUUUAAUUUAUAAAUUUAUUUAUUUACUUUAUAUCCCAGCAUCAGCCCUCCUUCUCCCAAUUUUAUUCCCCUCAUGCAGCUCCUCCCCCAUUCCACCUUCUCCUUCUCUUUGGAGAACGAGGAACCUCUUCCUUAAGUGUCAUUACCCAGUUAAUCCUCCCCCCUUCCCGCACAUCAAAUCACUGUGGGGCUAGGCACAUCUUCUCCCACUGAGGCCAGCCAAGGCGGUCCAUUUAGGGGAGCAGGAUUAACAAACCGGCAGGCAGAACAGACCAUUUUUAUGUUAAGCGGAAAUUAUCUUCAUUUUAUUCCCAGUACCAUAUCCUGGGGCUGAGGACCACACAAGUGUACAUUUCUUGUAUGUGAGAGCUUUACAUGUUUGAAGGUCACUAUUGUAGCACUUUUAUUCUCUUCUGUUUAAACUGUUCACUUUCUUGUCCCUAUAUUGAUCAUGAGCUCAAUAAACCAGCCCUGUUUAGCUGAGAUCGAUGUCUGUGUAAACCUCUCAGACUCAGUGGGGCAAUUUCCAGACCUUAUCUGGACUCAAGCUGUGUGAACACGUGGCUUGGUAUGAGUGUAGAGCAUUUCUUUCUCUGUACUAACUCUCCCUAGGCCUAGGUCUGGAAGCUUUUAUCAUCUGUACAAUUUAAUAUUUCAAACUGACUGAUUCAAUCUGUCUUCUCUUGACUUGUGACUGACUUGCUCUAUUUGCUUGCCCUCAUACUAACUUGGGCAAUAUGUUCUAAUUUUCUGUUUCCUUCUCAUUGUCUGGCCUGUUCAAUCUUCACCUGUAUCUAGUGUGUUCUCUGCAACCUGUCUCUGUAAAACUGCCCUGACCAAACUGCCAUAAACACCUGCCCCUCUUGUUGCUCUUAAGUGUUUUCUCUUUCCUAUCUGUUCUCAUUAGGCUUAUCUCAUUUUGUCAUGUCACUUUGUUUUCCUCUCUAUUAGACAUCACUUUCAAACAUGGCUGCUUCUUUCUACAAACUAACCUUUAUCUUCACUGGUAGAGAUUAAAAAUGUGUGCUAAGGGCACGUCUGUGUUCCAGCCAGAUCCAACUGUAAUCCAAGGUGUGUCUGCAUUCUAGAUCAUAGGUAGAUCAUAGUUUUAGCGUUCAUCCCUGUUCAGCUAUGUUCUUCUGCCCUUUUCAGUAUGAGAAUUUUUUUCCUUCACUGAAAUUACAGGGGAAUCCAAGUGAUUUUGUUCACUUCUUUUUGGAUGUCAAUUUAUUUCUUUAUUUAUUCCCAACAGAUUUAAUAUCCUCUGCUUUUUUUUUAAUCUACCAAAAACCUCUUUUUUUUUAAUUCUUAGGAUUUUUCCUUUCAAAUUCAGCUCAUUGAGGACUUUGUAUUUACAGUAAAUUAAUGAUUUAUCUGAUACAAGAUAAAAUUUAUCUACUCAGCUGUUAUCAUUUUCCAUGGUAUCAGAUUAUCUUUACAGAACAGUAUUUCAAUGAAAAAUUUUGGGAUUGUUAGUAUAAUUCAUUUUGGCUUUUUUAAAAGUUGGAAAUAUUUAAAAUCUAGGGGAAAGUUAAAAAAAAACAAAAACUAUGCACCAGGACCCUUGGAUGGAUUUGUUUUUAAUAUCUUGCCAUAUUUUCUCCUCUAUCUCAUAUAUACACAUACAUACAUGGAUAUAAAGUAUGUGCAAAUACAUUAUAGUAUAAUUCAUCAUAAAUAAAUACACCGGCAUAGGAUUUCCAAGAUUUCAUUAUAGUAUCUAAUGAUAACUCCAUUAACACACUGAAAUUCAAUAUUUGGUCUAUUUUCAAAUUUCUGUAUUUGCUAUGAAAUUUUAUAAAAUUUCUCUAGAUUUAGGACUUUUGUUUUAUCUCUUCGUGUUUGUAUGUGACAAUGGGUCUGAGUAUGUCGCUCUGGCUGGCCUGAAAAUAUCGAUGGAGACCAGGCUGGCCUUGAACAUCAGAUUCUCCUGACUCUGCCUCUCAAGUGCUGGGAUUAAAGGUGUGUGCCACCACUGCCUGGUCCUGAUAUUGCACUAUUGAUAUUUUACACCAGCAAAUUUUUGAGGGUUCCACAAGUGUCCUGCGCAUUGCAGGUUGUUUGUCUCCAACCCUGGCUUCUACCCACCAAAUCCGAUUGACCUCAUGCACUCUCCGAGGCUGUAGCAUCGAAGUGUCCCUACACAUUGUUAAAUGUGCCCACGAGCUUCUGACCCAGCACCUGACUGAGAACCAUCACCUAGAAGCUAAAGUUAAAAGAACACUGGUAAGUGUAUUUCUUAAGAGACGUUAAUGUCUAGUGGAAGGGAGCACACAUCAGGCUGAGCGACUGAUUCCAGGACUCGUUUAAGGCAUUCUUUGUUGUAAGGAUAAAGGCAUUUCCCCCUCUGCUGUACACUAUCAUUUUAAUACACUGCUAUGCGAAGAUUUUGUAUUCCUAUGGACUUUUAUCCAGUUUAUUUCAAAAAUUCAAUGUGCCAUUAAUGUCAUGAUUUUAGUUUUUGAUGCUCUUAUUAUAACAAAUUCCUCCAGUAGGAAUCACACUCUUGAAGUGGGUUUGGUAUUUUGUGCAAUGUUUAACUUUAGUCAUAAGCACCUGCAAUGGUAAAUUCUUAUUGUAUCACACUGAAUGUGAGAACCAGUUUAAAGGCUUAUUUAUUCAAUAGUUCUGGUUACUGGGACAUUAUAACUUUCACUUAAUUUACACGAAUAAAAAGUUAUGUUUGGGGCUGGUGAGAUGGCUCAGUGGGUAAGAGCACCCGACUGCUCUUCUGAAGGUCUGAAGUUCAAAUCCCAGCAACCAUAUGGUGGCUCACAACCACCCGUAAUGAGAUCUGAUGCCCUCUUCUGGUGUAUCUGAAGACAACUACAGUGUACUUACAUAUAAUAAAUAAAUAAAUCUUAAAAAAAAAAGUUAUGUUUGCUAUGGUCUAUUUAAUAACAAAGUUGGCAAUUAACCUGAGCUGUCCAUUUACUUUUAUUUAUUUUUUUCCCCCUCUGUGUUCAGGUCAGCUUGUACAUAUAAACACACUUGCUGCUCAUGGAUGAUUUAAAACAUUUUCUACCACUGCAAAUACUAGGAAAGAAAUUUAUUCCAGUUUCUGAACAUGCUGUACACAUUUAAUUAUACGUAGGAGCAAAUGUGUGUUCAGAAAGACAUCAUAGCAUAUUUCCCAAGGAAGGCAUAGUGACUUUAGAACUGUGAACAGCUAAAGUGAGAAAAUGGAGAUUUCAGUUAACUUCUGGAUGCUUAAUACCCUUCUUUCUCUAAUAAGUUGCUUUUAAGUCUCAGGAGCAGCUGCCAAUUUUGCAGUCUCUCCGAAGUCUGGCUCAGUGACGGUGACAGUAAAGGUGAAGCAGCCACCGCGACGGGUUGCAGACCGAAUAUAAGUUAUUUUUUUAUUAUUAGAUGUUUUCUUUAUUUACACUGCAAAUUUUAUCGACUAUAAGUUCUUAAAUAGCCUGUAAGUCUGCAGAAUCACUGGGAAAUAACUUGCCCCCGACUCUCCUCCUCCGCGCCACCGUCCCAGGAGGAGAAGGACCCAGAUUCUGGAGUAAACUUUUUAGGAGCACCAACAGGCCCGCCCCGACCCAGAAACCUCUUCUCUGAUUGGGCUGUGUGACUCCUGAUUGCCCAAUCACGAUAGGAGCGUUCCGGCGCAGCUCGGUGGCGUCGCUGCGCGUGCCCAGUCGGGGACACGCCGUGCACCCCGGUCCUCCCGCGUGCGGCAAAGGGCACGGCGUAGGGCGGUGCUAGCCCGGUUAGGUGCCGGUGCCAAGGUCGCUGGGCCACGCUGGGUUAGGGCUACGCCCAGCAGGAGGGUGACAAGAAAAAAAAGUCUUGUCCCUGUUGCCCAGUUUCAAAGCCAACUCCCUUAAGUGCAGGGUUAGGGUGUCGCGCUCACCCAACUGCCUGCGGGGACCCAGAGUGGGGUGCGAGCCGCAGUCUCUGAGCCUCGGCCGACCGCAAGGCCGGGCGAAUGGAGCGGGCCCUGGUGACAACAGCCAGCUCGGGUGCAGAAUGGGCUGGGCUGCACCGCCCCAAACGUGGCCGUGGUAGCAUCAUCCCCGAUGCGCCGCCGCCCGGGCCGCGGGGGUCCGUGUCCCGCCCCGUGAGGCAGCCUAGUCCCUGGGAUGCGCGGCUCCCGCAUGUGUGUGCAACUUAGAAAGUGACCAAGCAGCCCGGUCCCCGGCAGCAGGAGCGGCGCCAACCAGCCUAGCCUAGCGCCGUCCCCCGCGGCGCCGUGUCCGAUCCCCGGCCCAGGCCGCGUUUGGCGGCUCGCCGCUCCCAGCCCGGGCCGGCCCCUGCGGCCGCUCACAAAACGCGGCGAGCGGAACCCGCACGCGGAAGCGCCCGUCUCACUGAGCAUGCCCAGUGGCACAGUCGAACAGAGGAGUUUUUUUUUCUUUUUCUUUUCUUUCUUCUUUUUUUCCCCCUCUUUCUUCUUUUUCUUUUUUCUGGGUCUCCAGUAGGAGGCCCGUCCCCCACCCUCAGUUCAGACCCCCGCCGUCCCCGAGCCUGAACAGCUAACCAUGGCCGAGGUGUCCGGCGCCGCGUUGUCCCAGGCGGGUUGGUACCUUUCAGAUGAAGGCGUUGAAGCCUGCACAAGCUCUCCUGGGAAAGGCAGCAUAAAUGACAUCAUCCUGAUUGCUCUCAAUCUUGAAGGUCCAUGUGUCUUACAAAUUCAGAAGGUCCGCAAUGUUGCUGCGCCAAAGGAUAACGAGGAAUCGCAAGCUGCGCCAAGGAUGCUCCGCGUGCAGAUGACGGAUGGGCAUACAAGUUGUACGGCAGUAGAAUUCAGUUAUAUUUCAAAAAUAAGCCUGAACACACCACCUGGCACAAAAGUGAAGCUCUCUGGCACUGUGGACAUAAAGAACGGAUUCCUGCUCUUAAGUGACUCUAACACCACAGUUCUUGGUGGUGAAGUGGAACACCUAAUUGACAAGUGGGCUUUACAGAGAAGCUUAUUAAAGCAUAACAGAAGCAAUAUUGGAGCUGAAGGUGGCCCACCUCCUUUUCUACCUUUUGGGCAGAAGUGUGCAUCUAACGUCCAAGUGGAUAGCAGAGAGCUUGAUCGAAGAAAGACAUUACAAGUUUCCCUGCCUGCCAAGCCUGCAAAUGAUAAUGAUGAAUUUGAAAAGCAAAGAACUGCUGCCAUUGCAGAGGUUGCAAAGAGCAAAGAGACCAAGACAUUUGGAGGAGGUGGAGGUGGUGCCAGAAGUAAUCUCAAUAUUGGUGCUGCUGGUCACCGAAAUAGGGAGGUUUUACAGAAGGAAAAGGCUUCCAAGUCAGAGAGCAAGAACGAAGGUGUCUAUAGAGAAUUGGUUGAUGAGAAAGCCCUGAAACACAUAACAGAAAUGGGCUUCAGUAAGGAGGCCUCAAGGCAAGCGCUGAUGGAUAAUGCCAACAACUUAGAAGCAGCACUGAAUGUCCUUCUGAACAGCAGUAAACAGAAGCCUGCUGUGGGCCCUCCUGCUAGAGGAAGAGGGAAAGGCAGGGGUCGAGGACGAUCAGAAGAUGAGGAAGACCUGGGAACCGCAAGACCGUCAGCACCAAGCACGUUAUUUGAUUUCUUGGAGUCUAAAAUGGGAACUCUGAAUGUGGAAGAACCUAAGUCACAGCCACAGCACCUUCAUCAAGGACAGCACAGAGGAUGGAAUGCCGAGCAAAAUGGGAUGAAGGACGGCACUCAGUCAAGACAUCUUCCUCGAAACGAUACCAGGCAGCCAAGAAAUGAGAGGCCACCUCGCUUUCAAAAAGACACCCCAACUUCCAAGUCAACUGUAGAAAACAGCGUAUUAUCUAGAAAUAGAGGCUCCGAAAGGCCGAGUAGUUCCUCAGGUUCUGAUGUAUGGGCAGAAGAGAGGAUCAAGUGUGACAGGCCAUAUUCUAGGUAUGACAGAACUAAAGACGCUUCACAUCCUCUAGGCCUUCAGCACAACGAUGGUGCUUUUAAAAAGAGAGAGAACUCUAUGCAAAACAGACCAGGAAGAGGCCCUUUGUAUGCAGAGGCCAAAGAAAACCCACUUCCUCCAGAAUUCGUAGAUUACAAUAAUCAAAGACGUGGGAGAAGAGAAAACCAAACAGGUCAUCCUGAUCACUGUUAUGAGAGGAAACCACGGACAAUGAAUAGUGAAGCUGUUAGUGGUCUAAAAAUUGAGAAACAUUUUAGUGUAAACACUGAUUACCCGAGGCCUGUGCAGAGCAAUAGUCUUGGUGUUCCAAAUGGAGAGACAGCUCCGCCUCUGAAAGGAAGGCGCGUAGGACCGAUUAAGUCAGCAGGACCUGUCACAGCUGUGCCCUACGAUGAUAAAAUAUUUUAUAAUAGUGGGCCCAAAAGAAGGUCUGGGCCAAUUAAGCCUGAAAAGGUGAUAGAAUCAUCUAUUCCUGUGGAGUAUGCAAAAGUGUGGAAACCUGGCGAUGAAUGUUUUGCACUUUAUUGGGAAGACAACAAGUUUUACCGAGCAGAAGUUGAAGCCUUGCAUUCUUCGGGUAUGACAGCGGUCGUUAAGUUCACGGACUACGGCAACUAUGAAGAGGUGCUACUGAGCAAUAUCAAGCCUGUUCAGACAGAGGCAUGGCUGACGGGAUGGCUCAGUGGAUAAAAUACUUGUUGUAAAAGCUGGAGGACCUGACGCUUGCUCCCUAACGCCCACGUCAAAACCCAGACAUAAUCCACGGGCUAGGAGUUGAAGACCGGAGAGUCCUGGGCUCACUGGACAGCCAGUGAAGUUCAGCAAAAGUCUGUCCCCAAAACUAAAGUGUAAAGUGAUAGAAGACUGCAGCAUCUACCUCCAGGCUCCUUGCAUACAUGCACACGUAUGCACAUACAUACAGCUGCGGAUGUGCACAGAGCAUACACACACAUACACACACACACACACACACACACACACACACACACACACACACACACACAGGCAUACAAAAUACUAAUGGAAAAUAAAAAUACAUUUCUCUAUUUUUCUAUUUAUUUCAUGAUUACAUCUAUUGUCUUGUUUGAUUUUGGAUUUUUUAAUAUAUAUAAUUUUUUAUUAGGUAUUUUCUUCAUUUACAUUUCGAAUGCUAUCCCAAAAGUCCCCCAUACCCCCCCACUCCCCUACCCACCCGCUCCCACUUCUUGGUCCUGGCACUCCCCUGUACUGGGGCAUAUAAAAUUUGUCAUACCAAGGGGCCUCUCUUUCCACUAAUGGCCAACUAGGCUAUCUUCUGCUACAUAUGCAGCUAGAGUCAAGAGCUCCAGGGUACUGGUUAGUUCAUAUUGUUGUUCCACCUAUAGGGUUGCAGACCCCUUUAGCUCCUUGGAUACUUUCUCUAGCUCCUCCAUUGGGGGCCCUGUGUUCCAUCCAAUAGCUGACUGUGAACAUCCACUUCUGUGUUUGCCAGGCACUGGCAUCGCCUCACAAGAGACAGCUAUAUCAGGGUCCUUUCAGCAAAUUGAUUUCGGAUUUUUAAUGCAAAAUAUUGUCAUGUUGUCCAAGCUGGCCUUGAACUCUCCUGGGCUUAAACAGUCUUGAGUAGGUAGAAGUAUAGGUAUAUUGUACUAUGAUUCACCUUGCUUCCUAUUUAAACAAUAAAACUUAGCCUGGCUGGGUGUCAUAUGCUAGAAAUCCCAGCAUUCAGGAGGCUGAGACAGGAAGUUCACACAUCCAGGAUCACAGGGGACUACUUAUUCUGCAUGACUACCCUCACUUAUGGAAUUAGACUCUAGUUUUGAAUGGAAAACACAUUUAAAAGUUACUCUUUCAAACUCAAAUAGCAUUCAUAAAAAGUCAUUAAUUCCACUAAAGAUACUUUCCUGAAAAAAAGCCUAGAGGAACAAGGAAACCCCCAACUUAGAUACUGAUAGGGGAGAUGAGGCGUUGGGGCAGACGGAGCAGUGAGCUAAAGAAGCCUUGAGUGGGUAAGGACAAGGCAUGUGAGUCAUUUAAUUAGGCGAUGUGCAGCUUGUACAGCAAAUCAAAGUCAUAGGAGACAUUAAAAGGACGACAAUUGUUAUCCACAUUUUUCACUUCAAAGGCACUUAGAAUUAUGUAACAGUGAGGCUUUGACAACUAGUAUUUAGCCCAAAUGCCUGUUUGAUCAUAGACUUGCCAUUCUUGCUGAUAAAUUCUUUGAUAAGUUAGUGUCUGUAUGAGUGCUAAAAACAAAAUUUGCUUUGGCCUUUGAAGACACUAAAGUAUGUUUGGUUUUGUCUUGUUUGUUUUUUCACCAUAUUUUGGGAAACUUGCAAGGUUUACCGUGUGGACAGUGUUCAUUUUCUUUUUUGGUAUAAGGUCAGAAACAACUGUAUGUCUAGUUUAAACCUAAAACAUCCUUUUAAAUUAUGGACCCAGAACCUCAUCUGUGUGUCUUCUUUUUAAUGUUUUUAAUUAAUUUUCAUGAUGCUGGUGAUUGGACCCUUAUCCAUGCAUGCUGUAAGCACAUUAUUCCACAGGUGAACUGCAAAUGGUAUUUAAGCUUCCGUUUAAUACGUUUAUUACAUUUGAUGUGAUUUAUUUAUUUAUUUAUUAUCUAUAACCUAGCAUCAUAAUGAUCCCUACCAGGUGUUGUGGGCUGUAAUUCAGCCCGUUCCUGGAGAUAUGAAAGCUGCCAACAUGGGGGAGGGGCUUCAUUUACCCAUUAGUAUACCCCAUACUCACAAAUGCACAGUCCUAAAACUGUUCGUAACCCUUGAAACUCAGAAUCAUUGGUAGAAGAUAAAGUAAAUAGAAUAUUAUGAAGACUUUGAGGCGUAGCCACAACCCUCUCAGAGUGUACUACAGAGGUAUUUUAUGCCAUCAUUGAGAUUAUAUAAUUUUCAGGAUCUAUGAAAAAGUAUGUCAAGAUUUUGAUUAAAAAAUGUUGUGAUCUCUUUAAAUCUUAUUUAAAGACCUUUUCAAACAGUUUUAGACUAAUUUGAGAUGCCUUUUAUUGAUCAGUAAAAGUAUAGAUUGUAUUAUUGCAUUCUUUUGUUUUUUUCUGAAGGAUGAGAUUCCUCCCAAAGUGAAGUAACAUGGCAGGUACUACCCUGCCCUGAUGCCUUAGUUUAAAGCUAUUUUAAUAAUACUCCUCAGGUUUGUUCCUAAACUUAAUUAGAGUUUAUAAAGUAAUUUAUGGUAGAAAUUAAAUAUUAAUAUCACAUAUCAGGUUAGCAUAAAAUUGCCUUUUUGCAUAUUUGAAUAAUUCUAGGAGACAUCACAUUAAUCUAUUAUUGCUUAAGUUUCUCCUUUACCGAUGCCAACCUAAAGUAUAGGCUUAUGAAUAUAUUAUGUUGGUUAAUUAAGGAAUUAAUUUAUGAUUAUCAUUUAGUGAAUAUAAUUUUUAACAUUUUCCAUAAAAGCAGUUUUUAUGGGUAUAGUGGGUGAGGGCCACAGCUGAAGUCCCUGGGGUUGUCACGUGCACUUUCUUUCCCUCUGACGCCUGAAUCAGCAGGAGAGUCUGUCUGUAAAUACUGCCUUUCUGUUUGCCUUGAAGCCAUGAUUUCACUGUUGUGAGUUCUACCACCCCAUUUCAAAUAUAUGCAGAGUAUAUUUGCUGAUCUCCUUAUUGCUGAGGAAAUCAAGUAGCAAAAUAAAUAAAUAUGAAUGAUAUUUUUGUUAAGUUUAUUUCUGUGUCCCUGAAAUUUCAGCCUUAUGUUAGGAAUGUGCCUUAACAAUAUUAAAUGAUAGUUCAUUUUAUAGAUUCUGUUGGAUUGGAAGGUCUGAUUUUCUUGAAUUAAGUUUCUGGUGAAUUUUUGGACAAUUUCACCUGCAUCUAUAAUGGCAGACAAUAUUGUCCCUCACUGUGUGCCACAGGCUCAGUUUCUUUUCAGUUGAAUUCUGUCAGUGCAGCUUUCGGUCUGUCCUUAGUGAUGUUGGUAAAUCCUGAUAAUAUUGAACAGUGAACAUACUGUACGUAUUUGAUUUUUAGUAGAGUGAAUUAUGAAUAAUCCAUUUCUUUUAAAUGUUUAUGUUAUUUGUGUUUCCUUAUUUAAUGUUAUUAUAUUUUCAGCAAUCUUUGAUUUCAUUCUGUUUUCGAAACAUUCUUUCUUUGAUUUUUGUCUCAAUUUUUUUAAUCAGUCUGGUAGGCUGAUUGUUUGUAACUUAAGUCACAGUCUGGGUAUACUUUUCUGGACCAAUUCUAUCUGUUAUAGAAUCCUAUACAUAAGGUUCUAUCAUCAUAUCUCUAGCAAAGAGCAGAUUUGUCCUAUUUUCCUGUGAGAAACACUUUGGUGCUGCAGCUGCCAAUAAACUUGGAAACUCCUGGCAAGUGCUCCUUGCACUCUAGCUUGGAAUGACUGACUCCUUCAUGACCUGUCCUUGGCUCGGAGCUCCACUCAGAAGGCAGAGGGGCUGAAGGCAGAGGGGCUGCUGCACCUGUGAGAGGCUUUCGGUUGCCUUGACAAUGGAGGGAGAGGUUCUAGCCAAGCCGCUCAGAGCAGCAGCCUAAGAAAGCGUCCCUGUGUUUGAGCUACCUCCCGCCUGAACAGUCUAGGUUUCUCAACUCUGUUCUGGGAACAUGAGUACUUAAACAAAUUUGGAAAAAUGUGAGUCAAGUCUGUUUUUUAUUACAGAGCUUCCUUGAUUUGAUAUCAAAUGAAUAAGAACAUUACGUCUACCAAGAAACAGAGUUAAACUACAGAGCUUCACCAACUCACUUGCUCAUGGAACUCUGCAGUUCCCCUUUCCCGAGAACCUGUGCAGCUUCUCUCUCCAGCUUUCCUAUUUCCAUCGAUAAGAUGGCCCCUAAAUAUAUCAAACCAGUGUUCUCCAACAUCCCAAGGUUUUUACCUUCUCUAAACAAAGGGCAAAAUAUAUUUUCUAAAAAAGUCUUAAGACACUUUCUGUCCUUAUGUUUUUAGCAAUUGGAUUUUAUUGCAUAAGGAGGAUGAUUUUAUUUUAAUUUUUAUCUAAUUCUGCAAGUUUUUAAUAUAUCAAUUUUAAGAAAUUGUUCCUUGGGAAGAUUUCUAUUGUAACAUUCCUUUUUUUUUUUUAAAUUGUAACAUUCCUAAUAUGGCUUUUUCUGAACUGACCAUAAUAUUUCUAUAUUCCUACAAUCAAUGAGGUAUCUUCAUAUGUGUUUUUCUCCAACAAUCUAGCUCCUAUUAUUUUGUUUUGUUUUUGUUUUUGUUUUUUUUGAGACAGGGUUUCUCUGUGUAGCCCUGGCUGUCCUGGAACUCACUUUUUAGACCAGACUGGCCAUGAACUCAGAAAUCCGCCUGCCUCUGCCUCCCAAGUGCUGGGAUCAAAGGCGUAUGCCACCAUUUCCGGCUUCCUAUUAUUUUGUUAAGCUACCAUUGGUUAUAUGUACAUACAUACAUACAUACAUACAUACAUACGUACAUACAUACAUAUAUAUAUAUACAUAUAUAUACAUACAUAUAUAUGUAUGUACAUAUAACCAGUGUAUAUAUAUAUAUAUAUAAACUGUUCAGAUCAGUUAAUUCACCUGGGUGUUUCUAAGUGGAGAGGUAGCUGAUGGGACGGCAAAGCCAUCAAGCAUGGCUCUCUUUCUAGCAGCUUAGUGUAUUCUCCCAGGUCUUCAGACAUUGUCAUUUUGACUCAUUAGAAGCUGUUGCUUUGAGCCGCUUAGGAAAGAGACUCUUGUCUUCUUCCCAGGGUCUCUGUCCUUGUGUUCCUUGCGCCAUUCCUUAAAUCAGAUGAGUGCAUGAUCCAGAGCUUCACUUCCUAGUUUGUCUCUGUUGGAGGAGGAAGGCUAUCCUUACGUUAAAAAAUACCCACCUUGCCGAUACUUAAAAAGCAAGUCAGAGCUAGCUGCUGGAUACAGCUGGUAUCCAACAAAAGGAAUCAUAGAAAUAAUAAGUGAUCACAUACUGUAGGUACAACCUUUCCUAAAGCUGAUAGCAUCAGAGUUUUACAUUUAUAUAAAAACUGAGUUGGGACUCACACAGUGAACGUCAGUAAUUACUGAGUAAUUAAUAUAAUUGCAGUAUCAAAAACUCCUUCAACAUCACAGCUCCAUAUGGUAAUUUCUCCCAAGGACUGUGUUAUUUUUGUGUAAAAGACUGUAAUCAUUUUGGAAAAUAGGUUGCUUGUUUAUGUGACAUGGGAGGUCUUCUCUCUAGUACUGGUAAGAUGAUCCUCUGAAAUGACAGUCUGGCAGCGUGGCUUGGGGUUACAGCUGUUGGAGCGUAUGUCACAUGAAGGGAUAGUGUAGAGAAAUUAACCUUGGAAGGCAAUAUUGGUUUUCUGAGACUCUUGAUUUUUUUUUGAUAAUCUCUGGUAUUUUAAAAAUUAUGAAUAAAUACAUUUUAUUUUCUCAGAUGGUAUAAGUAGGAUAUUAGGGUCACUCCUUUGAGUUAUGACUUACAAAGAGCUUAUUAUGCAAAGUAUGGGAUUAGAAUUUAGCUUAAUUUAGCUCUGUAUGGUUCAAACUCUAAAAAUUGUGAUCAUAUAAUCUUUUUAAAUGUUGACAAUUAUUUUUAGUACCACUUAAUGAAUGUCUUAGGACUAUAUAAUAAGCACUUAUCUUAGAAGACUUAGGUUAAAAAAAGUUUGCACUAAUAUGUAAAAAGUACAGAAACAUGUUUUCUGAUAAGAUGUCCAAAAGACUCCAUCAGUAUUUUAAAUAUGAAACGAGUCUUAAACAGAUCAAGAGCUCAGGAUAUUGAUCCUUUAAACUUUGUGUAUCUUUUAGGUGACUCCCCCUCAUGCUUACCUCCCUUCUCUGCCUCUCUUCUUCCUCCUUAUUCAAGCCUUUACCCUCUUCUUCUGUCCUCCCUUUAUCCUUCUCAUUUUGAAGGUAUCAAGUGAUUGACUCUUCGAGUGGAUAUUUUACAGCUUAGAUUGUGCUUCUGCUGUCUGAUUUAAGUAGUGUUGGAGGCUUAGAAAACAGCUCAUGGCUUUGGGCUCAAAGACCUUCCUAUAGUUUCUGCUGUGCUCUGUAUAAAUGCAUGCUUUGCACGUGACCCUACCUGUUCUCAUAAAGACAGACAAUUAGGGUCUGAAAUGUGUGCACACUUAGCUGUAAAAUGGUCCAGAAAUGAUGAAAAGGUAGCACAGGCACAUGCAAUUUGAUUUGUUUCCUAUUAUUCUUAGUACAUUAGAAAAGGAAAUACAAUUUCUCAUUGAAUUUGUUUAUAUUUUGUUAGAAAUGCAAGUAAGAAAUUAAGAUAUAUUUUCUUAGAAGAUGUUAAAGUAUUAUUCUCCAAGCUAGAUAGUAGAAAGUCUUAAGAAAUGUAAUUCUAAAACACAGCACUAAAAGUAUUUUAGACAUAAUAUAGAAAAGAAUAUAGGUUAUAUCAAAAUAAUAAUACAUGUUUCUGUUGAAAAUGUGGGAUAUGAAAGACAAUGCAUGGAUUUUCAUUUUAAUGAUUAUAAGUUUUAAAUAUGGCGUUAACCACUGAGUUAAGAUCACUAUAUGGGUGAAAAGUGGUUUCUCCCCAUGGGACACUACUGGUAGGUUGGUGUUUUGGCUCUUCAUCAGUUUUCAGAAUGAUUCUUACAGUGUAAUUUCAAUGUAAGGGAACCUGAUGGGCCAAACAGUGAGCAAAACUGCCUUAAAAAGACUUAAUUGUCAAAACUAAGACUUUGUUUUCUGAAGUGAGAAUUAUGAUGUUUUAAGAUUUCAGUCGAUUUUACCUACGUGGCAACGUGUAGGGAGAUGUAACUUUGGGCAUUGGCAUUUAUUGUCAUUCUUGAGUCCAAGGUUGGCAAACACUUUGAGAUUCUUUCUCUGUGCUCUAUCCUGAAAGGAUUUGAUGGAAAGGGUUGCAGAAAGAGAGUAAAAUGUCUGCUCUGCUCAGCCUCUGAAAGAAGGGCCAGGGCAGGGCUGGUUGUGGGCAAAUUACUUCCACCUCCCUUUUUGCCCCUGCUUCAGCUCCAGGGGAGCUGGGAGUGCACAGGAGGAAUCAGAAGACCUGGGUUCCAGUCCCGGCUCUGCCACUUACUGCCUGUGUGACCUUGGGAAGAAGAAGGCACCUAUGAUCACACCAUUGAGUUCCGCAGAGGAGGUGAUGGACAGCCACGAAGGUCUACUCGGCCAACGCAGCAGUUUUACCAACCUCCUCGAGCUCGGAACUAAUGUGAAAGGGCUUUUGUGAAGGAAGAGCCACUGACUGAAACAUCCUGGAAGCCCACUGAUAGAUUUUCCACUUCUUCAGAGAGAGACUCAAUAUGCUGGAUAUGAUUUUUGGAGAAAGAAAAAAAAGGCAGAUAUUAGGGAAACGAUUCAAUUUACACAAGGCAAUGGGGGGAAAUACUGAGUUCGAUAGAGCAAAAUAUCUUUACAAGUGGAAAACUUCUUCUGCCAUCAAUAAAAGCAUUGCAUUGUUAUAUAAGUU
This is an RNA transcript of Mus musculus (house mouse), 16377 nucleotides long. It is a transcript of the gene named tudor domain containing 3, with no coding region annotated. The transcript is spliced from 14 exons. The record is from RefSeq and is marked validated. Lineage: Eukaryota; Metazoa; Chordata; Mammalia; Rodentia; Muridae.